GCACUGCUGAGGAGUCCCACAAUAGGACGAAACGGCCGUCCAGUGN
Molecule: non-coding RNA, 46 nt
Organism: Schistosoma mattheei
Lineage: Eukaryota; Metazoa; Platyhelminthes; Trematoda; Strigeidida; Schistosomatidae
Source: Rfam